This 700-nucleotide ribosomal RNA is filed under the name uncultured Nitratireductor sp. Its description in RNAcentral is "bacterial SSU rRNA". It matches the Rfam family "Bacterial small subunit ribosomal RNA", at positions 65 to 810 of the family's 1533-position model. The record is from RNAcentral. Lineage: Bacteria; Pseudomonadati; Pseudomonadota; Alphaproteobacteria; Hyphomicrobiales; Phyllobacteriaceae.
AGCGCCCCCGCAAGGGGGAGCGGCGGACGGGUGAGUAACGCGUGGGAAUUUUCCUCAAGGUACGGAACAACUCAGGGAAACUUGGGCUAAUACCGUAUGAUGUCUAGCGACCAAAGAUUUAUCGCCUUGGGAUAAGCCCGCGUCAGAUUAGGUAGUUGGUGGGGUAACGGCCUACCAAGCCUGCGAUCUGUAGCUGGUCUGAGAGGACGAUCAGCCACACUGGGACUGAGACACGGCCCAGACUCCUACGGGAGGCAGCAGUGGGGAAUCUUGCGCAAUGGGCGAAAGCCUGACGCAGCCAUGCCGCGUGAAUGAUGAAGGUCUUAGGAUUGUAAAGUUCUUUCGCCCGUGACGAUGAUGACGGUAACGGGAGAAGAAGCCCCGGCUAACUUCGUGCCAGCAGCCGCGGUAAUACGAAGGGGGCUAGCGUUGUUCGGAAUUACUGGGCGUAAAGCGCGCGUAGGCGGUUUUGCAAGCCAGAGGUGAAAUGCCUGAGCUCAACUUAGGAAUUGCCUUUGGGACUGCGAGGCUUUGAGGACUGGAGAGGUGAGUGGAAUUCCCAGUGUAGAGGUGAAAUUCGUAGAUAUUGGGAAGAACACCAGUGGCGAAGGCGGCUCACUGGCCAGUUUCUGACGCUGCAGCGCGAAAGCGUGGGGAUCAAACAGGAUUAGAUACCCUGGUAGUCCACGCUGUAAACGAU